ACUGAUGUAACUANAUUUAAGGCNGGNGGANGUCAGUUAGCCGUGNCGNUAGUNAUGGGACGUAUUUAUAACCCGUAUGGGCUUAUUGCAGCUACUUGUUGUUUCCUGGGCGGGUUCGCUCGCCACCAGGACCACCAAAUAAACCUUUUUUAUGCAGUUGCAAUCAGCGUCAGUACAAACAAUGUAAAUCAUUUACNAACUUUCAACAACGGAUCUCUUGUGUUCUGGCAUCGAUGAAGAACGCAGCGAAAUGCGAUACGUAGUGUGAAUUUGCAGAAUUCAGUGAAUCAUCGAAUCUUUGAACGCACAUUGCUGCCCUUAUGGUAUUCCAAAAGGGCAUAGCCUGUUCAAGAAGCGUCAUUUUGUACCCAUCAAAGACUUUGCUUUGGAUGUUGUGGCAGUUUAUUUGUCAUAUUUGGUCUGCCCAAAAAGACAUACAGACCUUAAAUGCUGAUUGGCAGCCGGACCUUUCAUGGUUUCAGACAUGCGCAGCACAUNUAUUGCGCUUGCCAUCAGACAAGACGGCAAUCCAUCAAGCCUCCUUCUCACGUUUGACCUCGGAUCAGGUAAGGGAUACCCGCUGAACUUA
Molecule: ribosomal RNA, 589 nt
Filed under: Bipolaris sp. 5 TT-2014
Lineage: Eukaryota; Fungi; Ascomycota; Dothideomycetes; Pleosporales; Pleosporaceae
Description: eukaryotic LSU rRNA
Rfam family: 5.8S ribosomal RNA (bases 198-357)
Source: RNAcentral